RNAcentral lists this ribosomal RNA (253 nucleotides) under uncultured bacterium. Its description in RNAcentral is "partial 16S ribosomal RNA". It matches the Rfam family "Bacterial small subunit ribosomal RNA", at positions 524 to 776 of the family's 1533-position model. The record is from RNAcentral.
UACGUAGGGUGCAAGCGUUGUCCGGAAUUAUUGGGCGUAAAGAGCUCGUAGGCGGUUUGUUGCGUCGGCUGUGAAAUCCCGAGGCUCAACCUCGGGUCUGCAGUCGAUACGAGCAAACUAGAGUGUUGCAGGGGAGACUGGAAUUCCUGGUGUAGCGGUGAAAUGCGCAGAUAUCAGGAGGAACACCGGUGGCGAAGGCGGGUCUCUGGGCAACAACUGACGCUGAGGAGCGAAGGCCAGGGGAGCAAACGGG